ACUCCUACGGGAGGCAGCAGUGGGGAAUAUUGCACAAUGGGGCGCAAGCCUGAUGCAGCCAUGCCGCGUGUAUGAAGAAGGCCUUCGGGUUGUAAAGUACUUUCAGCAGUGAGGAAGGUGGGUAUGUUAAUAGCAUAUUCAUUUGACGUUAGCUGCAGAAGAAGCACCGGCUAACUCCGUGCCAGCAGCCGCGGUAAUACGGAGGGUGCGAGCGUUAAUCGGAAUUACUGGGCGUAAAGCGCAUGCAGGUGGUUUGUUAAGUCAGAUGUGAAAGCCCGGGGCUCAACCUCGGAAUUGCAUUUGAAACUGGCAAACUAGAGUACUGUAGAGGGGGGUAGAAUUUCAGGUGUAGCGGUGAAAUGCGUAGAGAUCUGAAGGAAUACCGGUGGCGAAGGCGGCCCCCUGGACAGAUACUGACACUCAGAUGCGAAAGGCUGGGGGAGCAAACAGGAUUAGAUACCCCUGGUAGGCGUAG
Molecule: ribosomal RNA, 475 nt
Filed under: uncultured bacterium
Lineage: Bacteria
Description: bacterial SSU rRNA
Rfam family: Bacterial small subunit ribosomal RNA
Source: RNAcentral